Corylus avellana is the source of this 88-nucleotide small nucleolar RNA. RefSeq annotates it as small nucleolar RNA R11/Z151. NCBI's taxonomy places the organism in Eukaryota, Viridiplantae, Streptophyta, Magnoliopsida, Fagales, Betulaceae. The record is from RefSeq and is a predicted model, not a curated record.
GGGCUUAUGAUGAUAAUUUUCAAUUAUCUUAGCGGAUUUCAGUGAGAUUUUAACGUCAAUGAUCUGAUUGUUACACACACUGAGGCUC